Molecule: long non-coding RNA, 4988 nt
Filed under: Sus scrofa (pig)
Lineage: Eukaryota; Metazoa; Chordata; Mammalia; Artiodactyla; Suidae
Description: lncRNA (ENSSSCG00000062136.1)
Source: RNAcentral
GGUGCACACCAUACAAUGCAAAAAGUUAUCAGAGACAAAUAACGGCAAGUGGGGUUAGAGCGCUGUAUAGGGCCAUCAACGGCGGUCGUAGUGAAAAUGGCUCUUAGUGGGCAGGAAAAAGUUAACUAGAAAAGAAGCAAAUGUCUGUCCUCCUCUGACUUCCUUUCUCCCUCCAAAGCAUUAUUUCCCUGGAGCUCUGGGCUCUCUCCCUGUGUUUGCAUUAUGUUUCAGUUGGCUUGUCUUGGCCUCAGGGUGAGGUCUGAGAGGGGCACAGGAGGGCCUCAAGCACUGAGUCCUGUUUCGGGGGGCUGUAUGCUGUGCUCUCUGCAAGGACUUGGGGCUGGUGUAAGGAGGAGCCCCCAGGCCACAGCACUCUGCAAAUCAUUCUCAAAUAACUUGUAGGGAAAACCUAGGAUUGGCAAAAGGCGAGUUGAGAAAGGACCUUGUCGCCAAAAUACUGCAUCACCCAUAAAUAUCCUCUCUUACCCUCUCAAUCUAUUAGCAAAAGAGAAAUGACAGAUCAAGCUUUGAAAAGAAUCAGAUGGGUCUUUCUGGGACACCUGCAAAUGACUAACUCCAUCGGAGGGAUGUAGAAGCUUCUCUGCCAGUGGUGUGAACCUGCUGCUGCUGUUAGGCAGGAGGGGCACAGGGAAGGUCAGUGGCUGUGCCCCCACGGCUGAGAAAUGGUUGCCUCGGAGAAAUUACUGGGAAGUGUAACAAGAUCGACCUUAUCCCUGAGGAAUCACCUACUUGAUUUGACAGGAGCCCUCCUCACUAACUCAGCAUGGCAGAUGCUCCAGUCCCCUUUCAGGAAGGAAGGAUUUAUUUCCCUAGCUGCAGGAAACUCUGACAGGAAAGAGCCCUUGGCUAUAACCCUUAAUUGAAAGAAAUCAAUUUGGCCAAGGUCACAUCUUCCAUAGGCAGUUCCCAUCCAAAGACUGAUGUAGCGUAUGAAGACCUGAGCCCCCUUGUCCCAAAUCAAGAGAGCUCUGAAGGGUCAUUCCCACAUCAAAACUCCCUGUAGGGUUGGCUGAGCCCUCUACUGACACCGUAAUUGCAGCUUAACUUUCCCACCCCUUCACCUUCCUCCCUUCCUGUGGGUCCCAAGGAGACUUCCUGGUAAGCCUCCUGCACCUUAACCUCUCCAACUCUGUUCCUUCUCAUCUUAAGUCCACUAAAGGUGGGUAGACACAAUUUUCUGAGUAUCUUAUUUGGUGCCCAGCUCUCAAUCAGGUGCAUUACAUAUGUUCACUUAGUCCACACAACUCCUGAAAGAGGUAGGUUAUUCUUCGAUAAAGUAAUGAAGGCCUACUGAGACUCAAGCUUCUACAGCGGAGCAGGACUGCGUCAGUGGCACAGCUGGAAUUCACACCUUCAUCCACUUGGCCCUCAAGCCCACUCUCCUUCCAGUGGCAGUACUGUAGUCAAAACUAAGUAGUAAUAUAUUUGGGGAGUUCAGAAUAUUAGCCUUAGUCAUAUACCAACUAUGAGCCCACUGGUUCGCCAACUUUCUUUAGAGACUCUGAGGUAGGAGAGGACACUGAAGGAGAGGGCUUUGGUCAGGAGAAAGGCGGGGGAUGACCACCUACACUGGUGGAGUCCUCAAAUGUUAGAGUGAUCAGAAAGCUUCAAGACCCUGGAGAGUCUGGUGCUACGUACACAGACAGGGAGAAUGAGGCCCAGGCUGAAAAGUCAGUCUGACUCCCUCUUUCUGCUUCAGCUGCCUACUCCUUCCUGAGCUGACCUGGGACCAGAAUUCCUAACAGAGCCCAGGCUGCUCCCUUGGGCACUCACCUGCUUGCUAACCUGUGACCAUGUUCACCUGGGCUGCUCCAUAUUCCAGGCCUUGCCCUCUUCCUGCUGGCCUAGGGCUGCCUGCCUGCGGUGCUGGUUGCCUGUCCUCCUGUCUCUGAACUGGUUUGACAGUUGAGGUGAGGCUGGGGGUGGAGAGGAUUGUGGGACAUCUACUCCCAGACUGUGCCUCCAUCUGCAGCACCAAGUCCAGGAAGCACUUACUCAUAAACAUGGAUUGCUCCUCAAGGGUGGGGAAGAAGCCACUGAAGCCACGAGCAUCUAUCCCUCCCUGCUUGUCAGUCUGACCUGCCACACCUGGUGGGGGGGAGGGGGCAGCUGAAUGCAUGCGGAGAGCCUCCUCCUCCAUCUCCGCCUAACCCUCCUCAACGCAAAUCCAUAGCUCUUCCAGGAGAGGUCUUCCACAUUCUCAAGAGAUCAUCUCCCUACUCUGCAGUUCCCAUCCCUGACUCCUCCGCUUCCCCAGCCCACCUAGCUCAAAUCAAAGCCUUUCAGGACCGUCUGGCCUCGGGGUGUCCUCAGGGUGGUGGCCACAGCAUACAGGCCCCUUCUUCAACCCUAGUAUGUUUUCUUCUGAGUCUUGGUGAGUCAGCACCACAGGGCCACACACAAGGCUCCUAUUCAGGGCUCAUUUUCCUUCUGCUCUAACUCAGAUCUUGGCAUUGCUCUCUCUCUCUUCUCUAUGUGAGCCUUAUUCUCACCAUGGGAAAGCUCUGCUCCCUGCCCUGUGCCUCCUGGGUUUCCCCCAAUACCCCACCCCCACUCAUGCCCACAUUCCUCAUCCUUACCUUCUGAGAGUUUGCAGUCCCCUCUGGAUACAAACAUAAAGGAAGCAGAACAAAACUAGAAAUGUUAAACUACUGAAUUUCUCAUUUUCAAUGUGUAUUUGUUGUUGCUGGCUCUGUGCAGCCCCUAGGCUAUAUUGACCAUGCACACACACACAUUUGCUGUGCCUGUCACUUAUUCAACAUGUGUUUAUUAAGCACUGAGUCUGUGUGAAGCUUCAUGCUAAAGGCUGGAAUUUUCACUCUGAUGGGGGAACAAGCCUUGCAUAUGUGACAUCUUGGGGCAGUGCUGGGCAUGAUGCAGCAGGUGCCCCAAAUGGGGGAAAUGGGGCCCCAAGUGCCUAAGAAGUUCAGCAGAGCAGGGAAAUCGUGUGGCUCAAGAGACACUGGAUUUAAGUACAGAGAGGGAGGAAGGAUACUGGUUUGUGUUGAGAGUCGAUGUAUAUGUGGGACAUGGUGAUGCAAAAGUAGAAGCAAGAAAAGUCGUUCAAAACAAGGACUUUGCCAUUCUCUGCGUAACCUGGGGCAAAUCAACCUUGCUAGCCUUCAUUUCAGCAUCUGCAAUGAAGAUAGGAGACCCUCCCUCUUACGAUUUUGUGAGAAUUAAAUGAGAUAAAACAGGCAAGUGCCUGGUACUUGGUGAGUAGUCGGCGGCGGAUUAUUUGCAGCCUUUGUGGAAUGGAGCAGUGGGCGGGCGAAAAGAGUCUGGCCUGAGGGAAGCGCGUCUAGAAGCGAAGCUGGUGAGGCUGCCGCGGGCCGCCCCGCCCUUCGUCGGAAAACUGAAUUGCUGGCGCCCCCUGGUGUUUCGGUCACUGUGAUUCUCUGCACCGAGGUCCAGCGCACACCCACCUCCCCGGGGAAAGGUCGGUCAGCGGUCUGGAAGAGACCCGCUUCGCAGCAGCGGGCAGGGAUGCGUCCCCUCCCCAGGUCCCCUCCCCUGAUGGGUAGGCAGAGCCACAGUCCCUGCCUUAGGGAUGGAAGUCCAAACUAGUAGACGGGGAGGAAUAACAAACAGAAACCACCUCACAGGGUUGUUUUGAGUCUUAACUGAGCAAAUCUAAGACUCCAAACUAGUCAGGGCAUGAGUAAGCACCCAGCAAGUGAUAGCUACUAGGAGCUAUUAGGGAGCUCCUAGAACGUACCCAACAAAUGGUAGGUGAUCCAUAACUAUUUGUUACACAGGAGUCUAUCAACAUUUAUUUAUUCAUUCGUCCACUUAAUUAUGCUCCAAAAAUAUCUUGCUCCUCCUAUACUGUUGAUGCUCCUUUAAAGAAAAAAGAUUUGGAGUUCCCUGGUGACACAGUGGUUAAGGAUCUGACAUUGUCACUGCUGUGGUGCAGUUAAACUUCUAUGUCCUGCUGUUUAUCACUGGAAACUAUAUCUAGUCACUUGUGAUGGAGCUUGAUGGAGGAUAAUGUGAUAAGAAGAAUGUGUAUGUGUGUGUAUUACUGGGUCGCUUUGCUGUACAGUAGAAAACUGACAGAACACUGUAAACCAACUAUAAUGGGGAAAAAAACCAUUAAAAGAAAAAAAAAAACUUCCACGUGCCUCAGGCACAGCGAACAAAACACAACAACCCUUAGUAAACCAAGUAAGUGAGCAAGAGCCAGCACUCUGGGAGGAAAACAAGGAGAUGUCAGCCAUUCAAACAUCCAUCCAAUAGCUCCUACCAGGUGCCACUCACUGGAGGCAGUUAAGGGCUUUAGGGGCCGUAAGUGCUGGUAGGAGAGCCUGUAGCAAACACGGUAUUAUGUGAACUAUAAGAAAAGCAGGAGGCUGCUCCCAAGCCUUUUGAGACCACCCACACUCUGUCUAUGGAACGCGUAUUUCCCAGGGCCUCUCACCUUCAGAGAUGGCGCACGCUCCGCCUAUGGAGGGUGUGUCUUUCAAUAAACCUAUUUCUUACCUAGAACUUUGCCUCCCGUCGAAUUCCUCCUGCAUAAAGAACCUGAGCUUCAGUAAGUCCUGACACCAGUUUCACUUCUUCAAAUAAUGCCGCAUGCAGAGACCUUAGCCCUGGUCCUUCCCACCAGAGUCCCAGUGUGGAAGAGCCGUGCUGACAUCAGCAGACUCCUGGCGCCCACUGCGAUUCAAGAUGGCGGCAGCGGGCCGUGCGCAGAGACGCUGCGCCCGGCUCGUCCACCUGCAGCAGUGCCGGGGGCAGCACCGCUCUGCCAGACUCGCGAGAACUCCGCCGGGCCGGCUGACAAGCUCCUAAGAGUUCCCUUCCUGGCUCAGCGGUUAAGAUCGGACUAGGAUCCGUGAGGGUUUGAUCCCUUGCCUGUGAGCUGUGGUGUCGCUCACAGCCACGUGUCUCAGAUGCAGCAUUGCUGUGGCUGUGGUGUAGGCCGGCAGCUACAGCUCUGAUUCGACCCCUAGCCUGGGAACUUC